RNAcentral lists this microRNA (22 nucleotides) under Haemonchus contortus (barber pole worm). RNAcentral's name for it is "hco-miR-5911a". Lineage: Eukaryota; Metazoa; Nematoda; Chromadorea; Rhabditida; Trichostrongylidae. The record is from miRBase by way of RNAcentral.
UAAGCGCUUCAUCCUUAUAGAC